GAGAAUCUUGAUGAUGCUGCAG
RNAcentral lists this non-coding RNA (22 nucleotides) under Arabidopsis thaliana (thale cress). Lineage: Eukaryota; Viridiplantae; Streptophyta; Magnoliopsida; Brassicales; Brassicaceae. The record is from RNAcentral.